AUUUUAGAGGAUGUGCUACUGUGAAGGCUUAGAUAAAACGGAAGGAAAGAUCCUGCUAUUACUUCUCAAUGGAGAUCCUAAAGCCUUUAGCACUUGAGAGCUGAAUCAAAGGCCAACUGAAGUGAGAGUUUAAGGCUUUUGCUGCUGUAGGAUGUGAUGCUUCUGAGGCACCUUACUGUAUGUAAGAAAGCCACAGCAAUGAAAAUCAAAUCAGACACAUCCAUGAGACCAUUUACUGCUUUCAGCUCAAAUGGGAAGGACAGCAGGAAGAGAAGGAUAUGCCCUUCUAGCUUGACACUUGUCAGGAAAGUCCUCAAACCUCAUGAAUACAGGGAAAAAGGUAUAAAAUGUUUACAUAUGGCAAGAAGAGUCAAGGAUCGUUGGGAACUGUGCCUUGUGUGAAAGUCACAGCGUCAUCAUUCUUUAUGGGUUACAGCCAUAUUCAGUUAUUUUGCUUUUCUGAACAAUUGUUGAAAUCUUUUGAUGUAUGCCAUAUAACAAUUUUGUUCUUAUUUCUUUGUCUUUAGUUUCCUAACCACAUAUUGUAAAUUUGUGAAACAAA
Molecule: long non-coding RNA, 562 nt
Organism: Pezoporus flaviventris
Lineage: Eukaryota; Metazoa; Chordata; Aves; Psittaciformes; Psittacidae
Exons: 3
Source: RefSeq, a predicted model, not a curated record